RNAcentral lists this ribosomal RNA (334 nucleotides) under uncultured bacterium. RNAcentral's name for it is "bacterial SSU rRNA". It matches the Rfam family "Bacterial small subunit ribosomal RNA", at positions 30 to 361 of the family's 1533-position model. The record is from RNAcentral.
AUUGAACGCUGGCGGCAUGCCUUACACAUGCGAGUCGAACGGCAGCACGGGAGCUUGCUCCUGGUGGCGAGUGGCGAACGGGUGAGUAAUACAUCGGAACGUACCCUGAAGUGGGGGGAUAACGUAGCGAAAGUUACGCUAAUACCGCAUAUUCUGUGAGCAGGAAAGAGGGGGAUCGCAAGACCUCUUGCUUUAGGAGCGGCCGAUGUCGGAUUAGCUAGUUGGUGAGGUAAAGGCUCACCAAGGCGACGAUCCGUAGCGGGUCUGAGAGGAUGGUCCGCCACACUGGGACUGAGACACGGCCCAGACUCCUACGGGAGGCAGCAGUGGGGAA